Molecule: ribosomal RNA, 253 nt
Filed under: uncultured bacterium
Lineage: Bacteria
Description: partial 16S ribosomal RNA
Rfam family: Bacterial small subunit ribosomal RNA
Source: RNAcentral
UACGUAGGGUGCGAGCGUUAAUCGGAAUUACUGGGCGUAAAGGGUGCGCAGGCGGUUCUGCAAGUCAGGCGUGAAAUCCCCGGGCUUAACCUGGGAAUGGCGCUUGAAACUACGGGACUGGAGUAUGGCAGAGGGAGGUGGAAUUCCACGUGUAGCGGUGAAAUGCGUAGAGAUGUGGAGGAACACCGAUGGCGAAGGCAGCCUCCUGGGCCAAUACUGACGCUCAUGCGCGAAAGCGUGGGGAGCAAACAGG